UACGUAGGGGGCAAGCGUUGUCCGGAUUUAUUGGGCGUAAAGCGCACGCAGGCGGUCUUUUACGUUUCGAGUGACAGGUGGGGGCUUAACUCCCACAGGCCUUGGAAAACGGGAAGACUUGAGGACGAGAGAGGGAUGCGGAAUUCCAGGUGGAGCGGUGAAAUGCGUAGAGAUCUGGAAGAACACCAAAGGCGAAGGCAGCAUCCUGGCUCGUAUCUGACGCUCAUGUGCGAAAGCUGAGGGAG
This 245-nucleotide ribosomal RNA is filed under the name uncultured Oceanobacillus sp. RNAcentral describes it as "partial 16S ribosomal RNA". It matches the Rfam family "Bacterial small subunit ribosomal RNA", at positions 524 to 768 of the family's 1533-position model. The record is from RNAcentral. Lineage: Bacteria; Bacillati; Bacillota; Bacilli; Caryophanales; Bacillaceae.